RNAcentral lists this ribosomal RNA (443 nucleotides) under uncultured bacterium. RNAcentral's name for it is "partial 16S ribosomal RNA". It matches the Rfam family "Bacterial small subunit ribosomal RNA", at positions 338 to 795 of the family's 1533-position model. The record is from RNAcentral.
CCUACGGGCGGCAGCAGUGGGGAAUAUUGGGCAAUGGGCGCAAGCCUGACCCAGCAACGCCGCGUGAAGGAAGAAGGCUUUCGGGUUGUAAAAUUCUUUUGUCAGGGACGAAGCAAGUGACGGUACCUGACGAAUAAGCCACGGCUAACUACGUGCCAGCAGCCGAGGUAAUAAGUAGGUGGCAAGCGUUAUCCGGAUUUAUGGGGGGUAAAGGGCGUGUAGGCGGGAAUGCAAGUCAGAUGUGAAAACUAUGGGCUCAACCCAUAGCCUGCAUUUGAAACUGUAUUUCUUGAGUGCUGGAGAGGCAAUCGGAAUUCCGUGUGUAGCGGUGAAAUGCGUAGAUAUACGGAGGAACACCAGUGGCGAAGGCGGAUUGCUGUACAGUAACUGCCGCUGAGGCGCGAAAGCGUGGGGAGCAAACAGGAUUAGAUACCCUUGUAGUC